UCCUCCCUUCCUCCUCCUGGCCCCCAACUUGUUUCUUCUUUCUUAUGUGCCAGUUGCUGUGCUGAGGAUAUGAAGCUAAAUAAGCCUCUCUCCUUUUCUUCAUGAAGCUCAAAAGCUUAGAUAGGAAGCAAAUAAAUAUAAUAUAGCAUGAUAAUUGCAAGAAUAUUGACAUGUCCAAAAGUUAAAGAGAGAAAGCAUAAAGAAGAAAGUGAUGAGCUCUGAGGGGUUGAGGCUUUUGCUGUCUCUUAAAUUGAUUGCUAUUUAGCACCCAUCAAAAGCUCUGCAGAGGGGACCAUCAUUAACGGCAUUUACGAAGACAUCCACUUAUUCCAACAGCAGGAGGAAGACCAAUACUUCUUAUCAUAAACACAAGUUCCUGCUAUACACAACACAUCUCUUGAAUUCUAGGGAAGCCAAGAUGUACAUGAAAUGACUGCAGGCCUUGAAGGUCUUGAACCUAAUUGUGGCGCUGGGGCAUAUGUAGAGAUAAAUAUCACGUAGCAUAUGAUAAGGUGAUUUUGAAGAUCCAUUCUAUCUUAAGACACUGUAAGUCUAAUUAUUAAAUGAGCAAUACAGACAUUUAGUCAAAGUGUGUUCUGUUUUGAGGGAGCUG
Molecule: long non-coding RNA, 613 nt
Filed under: Pongo abelii (Sumatran orangutan)
Lineage: Eukaryota; Metazoa; Chordata; Mammalia; Primates; Hominidae
Description: lincRNA
Source: RNAcentral